This 29-nucleotide ribosomal RNA is filed under the name Memecylon bachmannii. RNAcentral's name for it is "partial 26S ribosomal RNA". The record is from RNAcentral. Lineage: Eukaryota; Viridiplantae; Streptophyta; Magnoliopsida; Myrtales; Melastomataceae.
CGAUCCCAGGUCAGGCGGGGCUACCCGCU